RNAcentral lists this long non-coding RNA (3196 nucleotides) under Homo sapiens (human). RNAcentral describes it as "HSALNT0069032". Lineage: Eukaryota; Metazoa; Chordata; Mammalia; Primates; Hominidae. The record is from RNAcentral.
CGGGCCCUUGAAAAGGCGGCGCAGACAAGCAGCCGCGUCAGAAUGCUUCUGGGAGUCGGGGGGUGGGUGCCUUUCUGUUGCUAGCUUGUAGGAGAAGCUGGGCUGUAGGAAGUUUAUUUGCGGGGGGGUCUUAAAGACGCUGAAAGUACUGGCGGGCUUUGGUGGGGGUCUGGAAAAACCUCUCUGUACCUGUGACCGCGUUGCGUGGCGGGCGCUCCCCGGCCUCUCCUUUUUGACCGGUCCCGGGCGUUGCCCAGCCGCCAGUCCUCCUGCUCGGGUUUUGUAAGCAGGAGAGGGAUGCUUUUUACGUCUUCUUAAAGUACGGUUAAGUGCCCUUGCUUGAAGUAGUUGCUGGCAACAAGAACGUAGGGGUUACUCUUUGUUGGGCCUGAACUCGUGCUUUUUCUCUCAAAAGUUGAGCUUUUGAAAGGCAAAAAAGGCGUGGGGGAUGGGGGAGCUGUCGGUCUUAAGGAAGUUAAAGGUUAUUUCCUAAACAAAACAAGUCUCACUCCUAAAACCAGGGUAGUGGCUCAGUUGUGGCGGGAGAGCAGGGGCUGUAAAGUGUCCAAGUUUCUAGUCUCAUCUUUCAGUAGGAUGGGUACAAGCUUUCCCCUUGGGGCUCUGGGGGCUGGGAGGGUUGUAAAAGUGGGAGAAAGCAAAGUAUUUGGCGGGGUGCGGGCGGGUAGCUGAAUGUUGUUGUAAGUGGAAGAGGAAUGCUGUUGGCGUCUUUCUCUAAGCACGGUUAAGUGCUUUUUCUUGAAGUAGUUACUGGCAACAAGAACGUAAGGGUUACUCUUUGUUAGGCCUGAACUCGUGCUUUUUCUCAAAAGUUUAGCUUUUGAAAGGCAAAAGUGGGGGUGGGGGCGCUGCUGCUUUUAAGGAAGUUAAAGGUUAUUUCCUAAGAAAGCAAAACAAGCCCCACUUGUAAAACCCGGGUAGUGGCUCAGCUGGAGAGCAGGCGCUGUGAAGUGUACAAGUUUCUAGUCUCAUCUUUCAGUAGAAUGGGUACAAGCUUUCCCUCGGGGCUCUGGGGGUGGGAGGGUUGUAAAAGUGGGAGAAAGCAAAGUACGUGGGUGGGGGGUAGCUAAAUGUUGUUGUAAGCGGGAGAUGGAUGCUUUUGGCGUCUUUAAGCACGGUUAACUGCCCUUGAAGUAGUUGCUGGCAACAACGUAGGGGUUACUCUGCUGGGCCUGAACUUGUGCUGUUUCUCUCUCUCAAAAGUUAAGGUUUUUAAAAGGCAAAGGCGUGGGGAGAGGGGUAGGGGAGCUGCUACUUCUAAGGACGUUAAGGGUUACUUCAGAGCAAAACAAGCCCCACUUCUAAAACCAGGGCAGUGGCUCAAUUGUGGAAGGGAGAGCAGGGAAUGUGAAGUGUCCAAGCUUCUAGUCUCGUCUUUCAGUAGCGUGGGUACAAGUUUUCCAUUGGGGCUCUGGGGGCUAGGAGGGUGGUAAAAGUGGGAGAAACCAAAGUACUUGCGGGUAGCUAAAAACUCUGAAACCCACGCUGUGAGCGGUUCCUGCUUCUCUGAAAGGUCUGUUCUGCUUAAGGUUGUAUCAAGGUUAGUCUCUUGCUACCUACUUCUGUAGAGCAGUCUCUCGUGGCUCACCUGGGUUAGUGGCCAUGUUGCCUGUCUCCUAUUCUUCCUAACCUUGUGUGUUCUCCAGGUAGCUGAGUGAUCCAUCCGAAGUAAAAUAUUCCUCAGCUUGUCUGUAGGGGCUCCAAGUUUCAUGAAGUAAAAGCUAGUCUUGAAAACGGCCCAUUAGGGUCCUGGAUGACAGUCUCCGGGUCACUUAGACUCCGUUGUCCGCCUCCCCUCAUCUGUAUCAUCUUUGCCUUGGGUACUGGCUUCGGAGGGUGUUUUCCUGAAACUCUUACCUGAGAUCUACUUGGCUGACUCCUGUGUCCUUCAGAAGUACUUAAUUGCUCAAAUGAAUAACCCUGACACCUGGAAGAUGCUCCUAGGGAUGACCCCACUCCCCACCCACAACUGUUAAUCAGGAAAUAACGGAUAUGAAAGUAGCUCUGCGAACUGAGGAGCCGUGGAGAAUGUACAAAACAGAUUCCUAAAGUAGUGCAUUCGUGUAACAAGAUUAAGAAAACGAAGGACCAACUUCAAGCUCUUGCAAGCUGGUAACCUUUACACUCGUGCAUAAAGCCUUGCUGGAGUUGACACUGAAAACUAAACAGUCGAACUUGAGUAAAACAUAUCCAAACUCCCAGCUGCUGGGCUCUACAGCUUAUUUUUAGCUUGAAAGUUACAUGUUGGAGCUGCAGAGGCUUUAUGGUGGUGGUGGGGGAGCUGUUUGUUCGUAGUCACUUGAGUCUAUAUGAACGUGGCAGGAAAUCUGAAGGAUGUGAAAGGAAAAUGGGAAACACCAGGGUGUUCCAGGAUUUUCCCUGUGGGGCGCGAGCUCAGUUUGGUGUUGUCAGCUGUGGGAGCUUUAACACUUGAACCGUCUUUACUGUGGGUCUAGCCUAUUCGUUGGGCUCCCCUAGUCACCACUCAUGCCUUCGUGUAUCCUGUUGUGUUGGGCCCCCACUGAAUUAAAUAGGGAUGGCACCAUGUUCGAGAAGCCGAGGCGACCCAGAGCCAAUGAACACAUAUGGUGUAUGGAGGGGACUUGAAUACAGAGUGGUCCAGAGCAGCCAGCUGGGACAGAACUGCGCUUCAAAAAGCAGUUGAUACAGAUCAGGUACACCUACACUCCCAAGGUGUGGCUAAGCCGCUAUCAGGUGUCAAGCGUGUAAGGGUCACUGCCAGGAUAUACUUGAGUUGCUUUCAGCUGUCAUAACUCUCUAAUAGGAUGGGGAUCCUGAGGUCUGCAUACACCAGUGGUUCACAUCUCUGAGGACCCAGCUACUUCUCUGGCCCUUUCUGGAACCUGUCUACUUGGAGCUCCGUAGGAAGGGUCUGAAAGGCCCCUUACUCGCACUGAACGACAGCCAGAAUAAGACUAAUUUGCCUUCCCCUUCCCUGCUGAUUUCUCUGGGGUGCUGCUUCCGAUAGUGACCAGCGUCCUUGCAUCUCCAGCUGCACUGACCAGAAAUCUCACCCCCCACUUAGGUUAAAGCCUUCACUAAAUCUAGUUGCUUAGAACCUCUGUAUCAAAUCUUUCUGUAGCCACAGCCCUGCUUUGGUGCUCUUUAACCUGGGUUAUUCUAAUUUCUUCCUGACCAGUUAAUCUGUAUCUGCUUG